UUGAGACGGGUUCAGAAGUCUUAUAAAUUAUAACUUGGGUCAGCGUUGCUGUAUCUUAUAUUAUACAACGCUGUUCCUGACAAAUACGUGUAAUAGCUUGCACGUCGAACAAUUAAUAGCACAAAUCGAUACUCCGACUGACCACCACUUCAUUCUGUUUGACAAAUGUUCGCGAUUUUAUAUGACAGACGUCGGCACAAUAAAAAAAAAACUAUGUGGGAAACAGAUAAGGAAAUAUCCCGCCGGCUUUUCGACAAAUGUCGGCACAGUUCCCUGUGAAGUCAGCCCAGAACGCGCGGUUCCCCUCCUCUAGAAGGUUUAUGGUGAUUCAGGAAAAGAGGCAGGAAGUCCCGUAGGCAUUCCAGGGAGAACUUUCCUCAGACAAGCCGUACGGGACCCACUAAGAACUUUGACAGAUAAACCGCAUAGUGAUAAUAUAGCACAGUCGCCAAGUGUUGAAGGACCAAGGAAGUUUGAUCUCGCUAGAGCCUCGUGUCCAAGGGUUAAAACCCACUUUUACAUCCUAAUUUGCAUAAUUGUAGUGAUCGUAAAACCUUAAAACCCCGAAAAUGAACUUGGCAAAGUGCCAAUAAGUAGUGUGCUUUCAGCACCACCUCUUGUGCAAUCUGUAAUGCGAAUAGCACUGCUUUUUUUUUUCUUUAAUUUUCUGCCAGAUAUCUAUAGAUUUUAUCUAGUUUCACAGCUCCAGAAAUAAGACAUCCACGAAUUUCUCAACGAGCAUCAAUCUCAUAACAGGUGGUCCUCAGUGGGGGAGAUGUUCAGCAUCAUCAAGGUCUUACUGUUUCCACCUAGACUGUUCAUCAGCAGAUACCCACCUUUGCAGCCCUGACCGGAUCGUGUGUUACUACCGGUAAUUCGAAGCCGGCACACGGAAUGAGAUCUCGACGAGUGCUCGUUGGACUGCGUGGCCCCGGUGCUCCUGUUCUUCUGGGCACGGUUCAGAAGCUCAUAGAUCUGCGUACAAGACAGAAAUACAAAAACAAAGACAAUUACAAGAGUAGAAACUACUUCAAAUGAAGCAGCGAGAUUAUGCAGCUGUUGAAGUUGUCAACAGGAGCUGCCGACAAGUAAAAUCAAUUUUCAAGAGCACCUUAAUUGAAGACGUUUGGUGGGAGUAAUGAGGGGGCGAGAAACCCCUAUAUUCUGACUCAGCGGUCAAGUGACUUAUUUUUUCCAAGUGCUGUGAAGUGCAGCAGAGCUGUUCGCUCCUAUGCCUUCGUGUUUUAUGUAGGAAGUAUCUUUCCCUUGGUGAACAAACUGACUAUCUUAUGAUACACAAUUUUAUGACAGCUCUGUGGGGUCAGAGUUUCAGUGAAAGGCUUACGUAGGGCUUCCUCCUAGAGGGCUCAACUUUCGGGUGAAACAUGGAAAAACUCGAGAAGUGAACUUGCUAUUGCGCAAAGUCAGCCACUCAGAGGCAUGUGAAUGCUAAAUGCUUCUUCUGCCUGUCGUGAGCCAGUGUUCACUUUUUUUUUUGCACCUCAACAUGUACCUGUCAAUACAAAAUCAACCAAUUUUACAGCUUCUGUCAUAGGAAACCAUAAAGGUCAGUCUUCAUGGUUUCUAUCCACAAUUUACCAAUAAACUGAAUAUCA
Ornithodoros turicata is the source of this 1616-nucleotide long non-coding RNA. RefSeq lists it as uncharacterized. The transcript is spliced from 3 exons. The record is from RefSeq and is a predicted model, not a curated record. Lineage: Eukaryota; Metazoa; Arthropoda; Arachnida; Ixodida; Argasidae.